UUAUUAGGGAGAAUUGGCUCACAUGAUCACAAGGCCAAGUUCCACGAUAAGCCAUCUGCAAGCUGAGGAAGAAACCAGUAGAGGCUCAGUCGAGUUCAAAAGCCACAGAACCAGGGAAGCCUACAGUGCAGACUUCAGUCUACGCCCGAAGGCCCAAGAGCCCCUGGCAAACCACUGUUGUAAGUCUAAGAGUCCAAAGGCCGAAAAACCUGAAGUUUGAUGUCCAAGGGCAGGAGGAGGGGAAGGAAGCAUCCAGCACGGGAGAAAGAAGAAAACCAGAAGACUCAGCAAUCAAGCUCCACUCUCUACCCUUCAUGCUCUGCGAAGAUGACCCUGUGGACUGCAUCAAUUGGGCCCCAUUGACUUCUGACUUCCAAUGAGAGGCACCAGUAGAAAAUAGCCCCAUUCAUUUUCCUGCUUUCUUUACUGCUUGGAUGAUAGUGGUGGCUUCAUUCUUGGAGAGGAAAGAGCUGGAAGACAAGGACAGAGAAGGAGUAGCACUCACUGUUUAUGAUCAUGUUGAGUUUCCAAUCCCCUUAUUAUAACCAACUAGAAAAAAUUUUCAGGUGUUCAGACUCAGACUGGAGCUCUACCAUUGGCUCUCCUGGGUCUCCGUUUUGCCAACUGGAGAUCCUGGGAUUCUGGGAGAGAUGGGAUUUUGUGUAACCUGUCUUAGCUUCCUUGGAUUUGGGGCCUUAACAAUACAUGACAGAAUCUUGCCCUGUCACCAGGCUGGAGUGCACUGGCAUGAUCUCGGCUCACUGCAACCUCCGACUCCCUGGUUCAAGCAAUUCUCCUGUCUCAGCCUCCAGAGUAGCUGAGAUUACAGGCAUACACCACCACCCCCAACUAAUUUUUGUAUUUUUGGUAGAGACAGGGUUUCACCAUGUUGGACAAGAUGGCCUCGAUAUCCUGACCUCAUGAUCCGCCCACCUCGGCCACCCAAAGUGCUGGGAUUACAGGCAUGAGCCACCACGCCUGGCUUACAUGACAUUUUAAUAAAUAAAUGUAUAACCCACAUUCCAUUUUUUUUAAGACAGUCUCUGUUGCAUAGGCUGGAGUGUAAUGGCGUGGUCUAGGGGCUCACUGCAACCUCUGCCUCCCCGGUGCAAGUGAUUCUCCUGCCUCAGUCUCCGGAGUAGCCAGGACUACAGGCGCCCGCCACCAUGCCCUGCUAAUUUUUUUGUAUUUUUUGUAGAGACGGGGGUUUUACCAUGUUGACCAGGGUGGUCUCAAACUCCUGACCUCAAGGGAUCCACCUGCCUUGGCCUCUCAAACUGCUGGGAUUACGGGCAUGAACCAUUGCGCCCAGCCUUGUAACCCACAUUCUUAGAAACAUUUCUAUCACCCUUAUAUGUUCCUUUGUGCUCCUUGUCUUCCCCAGCUCCCACCCCAAACAAGUAGACAACCACUUUUCUAAUUUCUUUCACUAUUUAUUAGGUUUACCUCUCUUAGAACUUCAUAUGAAUUGAAUCAUAAAGUAGAUACUCUUUUAUAUGUUUUCUUUCAUUGAGCAUAAUUUUUUGAGAUUCAUCCAUGCUGUUUUAUGUUUUAGUAGUAUAUUUGAUUUUAUUGCUGAGUGUUAUAGACUAAAUAUGCAUUUCCCUCCAAAGGGCAUGUGUGGUGGACUUACACCCCAGGGUCAUGGGAUUAGGAAGCAGGACCUUUGCAAAGGAAUUAGGUUUAAAUAAAAUCAUUGAGAGUGAAACCCCCAUGAUGGGAUUAGUACCCUUAUAAGAGAAAGAAACCUCAGAACUUCCUCUUUCUUCCAUGUGAAAAAAUACAGCAAGAAGGCAGACAUCUUCGAGCCAGGAAGAGGACCUUUUCUGAAAACUCAACCAUGCUGCCAUCCUGAUCUUCAUCUUUCCAGACUAGAGAACUGGGAUAAAUACGAUCUCUGUUGUUAUUGAUCUUCAAUAAACAGAAAAUGGAAACCCUAAAACAGUACCAUUAUCCACUUAGAAUACAGCAGGCUGAAACCAGCAACAAAAUGAAGAUAUAUAUUUCCAGCCUAUAUUUUGAGCAUCGUGGAACUUUCUGGAUGCAGCACAAACCAGGGGGGAGUUACCAUUCUGUAGGAAUUGUGGCCAAUGUGGAUAAAGAACUACCACUGAAAAGAUGGAAGCCUACAGAACAGACCAAAAGAUAAAUGUUCUCUGAGUUUCUAAAAUGCUUAGAUGGGUUUCAUGACUUUUGCACCUUCUGAAACUGAAUUUUCUAUUAAUGAAACCACAAAAAUAAUAUGAUAUUUUUGGGAGUUUAUACUCAAAGUUGGCUAACAAUAAUGAAGUGGAAUGGAGACACUUAGGGACUCUAUUAUAGAUGGCAUGACAGGAAUAGAUAGCAUAAAUAAUUGGUAUCUUUAAACUCCUGAGGCCGACUCUAAACAAUAUCUUUCAUAUCUAUGUUCUCCUUCUUUUAAAUCCAUGUAUUUCAUAAGUCCUGAUAACUUAAAUGAUUGAAUUCCACAAAGGUGUCCUGACUCAGCUCACCCUCUCCUGGAGGUGUUAAUGAACAGUGAAACAGUGACGAAAACAGUAGCAGAGUGAAUAAAGGAGCUGAUGGGAACAAAAGAUUGUGUUUUGUUUAUUUGAUCUUUAAAAUAUAGAGUAUUGAUAUUGUCAUAAUAAAAGCUAAGGCAUAGAAUGCAUUUAAUCCUAUACAUUUUCCACUUGGCUUUCAGUGAUGCAUAAGACUUACUAAGAUUGGCAUACUAUAUAAAGGCCUCAAAAGGAGGUAUGUACUGUGUUAAGUUCUUUGCAUGCAUUAUCUCUAGUCGGUCCUUAAAUGGUGAAGCUGUACAGUGUAGGAAAGAUACAGUAUAAGGUAAUGAUUAAAAACUUACCCUAGAGGCAGAUACCUGGAUUAGAAUCCUAGUUCUUCCACGUAUUUGCUGUAUGAUUUUGAGCAAGCUACUUAAAUUAUAUUCUCUUCAGCAUUUUUUUUUGUAAAGUAGAGGUAAUAAUGUUUAUCAUUCUGGGCAUUUGUAAACUUAAAUAUAUUUUUAAAUAAAGAAUGCUUAAAACAUGCUUACUACAAAAUGAACCCUUAGUAAAUUAUGUACAAAUGUAAUAAGUUGGAUACACUUAAAAGGGUUAAUUAUAAUUCUUAAGUUCUCACAGUUUUAGUGGUGAAAAUGGGCCAAAAACCAAGAUCUGAUUUAAAAGUGAAAGUUCACGUUGAAUGCAUAUCCUAUAUACUGUCACUUUCCUUUCAUCUAAUUAAGUAUUUAGAACAAAUGAUUAUAUUUGCAGAAUACAUCUGUAGAGUAAUGUUUUAAAAGAAACAAAUGCCUCUGCCAUGCUAGUUGACAAAUGAUAUUUUAGCAAGGUGAUGCCUAGAAAAGAUGCUCUAAUAUUUGCAAUAAUCCCAAGGCAGCUUUUAACUCAUAAAUGAAAAUGGCUUUCCUCUGUAGAAAACUUGUCAAGUAACUGAUUAUUAUUAUCUUGUAAAGGCCAGUUGAUGUCUUCCUCAUUCAUAGCCCAACAAUGUUCCAAGGAGGAAGAGGUCAUUUAGAGAGAAACCUGAGACACUAAUCAAGUUGACUACAAGUGACUUUUUUCCUCAACAUCUCUUUCUUCAUGUAUUUUUUUAAAAAAGGUUUUAACUAGAUUAUCACUAAAAUCUGUUACAGGUGUUUUUCCAACUGCAUACCAUUACUAUCAGGGGAGAAAGGAGGGGAGAUGAUGAAAAAGCAUCUAGCUGUUCUGGCAAAAUUACCCAGAUCACAUACCUAACCCAACUUGUGUAUUAUUACUUAAUGUUUAACAAGAGGGAGCAAAGAUGUGUCAAAUUAAUUGUCUAAUAAUAAUCUUACAUAAGACAUAAGAUGACAUAAGACAAAGACUACAUUCAUAAAGGAAAUAAUGAACCCUCAUAUUUAUAAAAAGCUUUAGUUUAAAGUACUAUGUAAUAUGCAAAGACACACAGAGCGGUAUAUUAGACACUGAGACUCAGAAGAGGGGAGCAUGGGAGCAGUUGGAGGGAUCAAAAGCUAUUUAUUGGGUACAAUGUACACUGCUCGGGUGGCAGUUGUACUAAAAUUUCAGACUUUACUGCUAUAUAAUUCAUCCAUGUAACCAAAACCACUUGUAUCCCUAAAACUACUGAAAUAAAAAAU
Molecule: long non-coding RNA, 4120 nt
Filed under: Homo sapiens (human)
Lineage: Eukaryota; Metazoa; Chordata; Mammalia; Primates; Hominidae
Description: HSALNT0071785
Source: RNAcentral